UGGCGGCAUGCCUACCAUGCAAGUCGAACGAUGCUUUCGGGCAUAGUGGCGCACGGGUGCGUAACGCGUGGGAAUCUGCCCCUUGGUUCGGAAUAACAGCUGGAAACGGUUGCUAAUACCGGAUGACGACGUAAGUCCAAAGAUUUAUCGCCAAGGGAUGAGCCCGCGUAAGAUUAGCUGGUUGGUGUGGUAAAGGCGCACCAAGGCGACGAUCUUUAGCUGGUCUGAGAGGAUGAUCAGCCACACUGGGACUGAGACACGGCCCAGACUCCUACGGGAGGCAGCAGUGGGGAAUAUUGGACAAUGGGCGCAAGCCUGAUCCAGCAAUGCCGCGUGAGUGAUGAAGGCCUUAGGGUUGUAAAGCUCUUUUAUCCGGGAUGAUAAUGACAGUACCGGGAGAAUAAGCUCCGGCUAACUCCGUGCCAGCAGCCGCGGUAAU
RNAcentral lists this ribosomal RNA (439 nucleotides) under uncultured bacterium. RNAcentral describes it as "bacterial SSU rRNA". It matches the Rfam family "Bacterial small subunit ribosomal RNA", at positions 37 to 524 of the family's 1533-position model. The record is from RNAcentral.